Molecule: transfer RNA, 87 nt
Filed under: Myxococcota bacterium
Lineage: Bacteria; Pseudomonadati; Myxococcota
Also listed under: 1 other name
Description: tRNA-Ser
Rfam family: tRNA
About the family: Transfer RNA (tRNA) molecules are approximately 80 nucleotides in length. Their secondary structure includes four short double-helical elements and three loops (D, anti-codon, and T loops). Further hydrogen bonds mediate the characteristic L-shaped molecular structure. tRNAs have two regions of fundamental functional importance: the anti-codon, which is responsible for specific mRNA codon recognition, and the 3' end, to which the tRNAs corresponding amino acid is attached (by aminoacyl-tRNA synthetases). tRNAs cope with the degeneracy of the genetic code in two manners: having more than one tRNA (with a specific anti-codon) for a particular amino acid; and 'wobble' base-pairing, i.e. permitting non-standard base-pairing at the 3rd anti-codon position.
Source: RNAcentral
GGAGGAGUGGCCGAGUGGUCUAAGGCAGCGGUUUUGAAAACCGCCGUAGGCUGACGUCUACCGGGGGUUCGAAUCCCUCCUCCUCCG